RNAcentral lists this long non-coding RNA (301 nucleotides) under Theobroma cacao (cacao). Its description in RNAcentral is "long non-coding RNA (TCAC_LNC003173)". The record is from RNAcentral. Lineage: Eukaryota; Viridiplantae; Streptophyta; Magnoliopsida; Malvales; Malvaceae.
AAUCAAAGUAGUACCUGCCAAAGAUCAUGAAGCUCCAGAGUCUGACCACCCUCCUGAAGCAGUGGAGGUAAUAUCAACUUACGCUUGUUCCCCAUCUCCCAUCUCAGUACAUUUUUGGCAUCAUCCACCACAUAAUAACUGUACUCGCAGCAGAAGCGGCACGGCACUGCAACAGUUCCAGUCCAUAUGAGCUCAUUACCUUGAUGAAAAGGGCUCAGCAACAACCCUUUCUUAACGUUCCAUGAACCGAGCGUUGGUUCGGAGCCGCAUACUACCAGUCUUUGGCCCCAUUCCGUGAAAU